RNAcentral lists this RNase P RNA (233 nucleotides) under Fibrobacter sp. RNAcentral describes it as "partial RNase P RNA component class A". It matches the Rfam family "Bacterial RNase P class A", at positions 1 to 226 of the family's 367-position model. From Rfam's summary of the family: Ribonuclease P (RNase P) is a ubiquitous endoribonuclease, found in archaea, bacteria and eukarya as well as chloroplasts and mitochondria. Lineage: Bacteria; Pseudomonadati; Fibrobacterota; Fibrobacteria; Fibrobacterales; Fibrobacteraceae. The record is from RNAcentral.
GCGGAAGAUCGGGUAGUCGCUGCAGGCAGUUUGUCUGCAGAGGAAAGUCCGGGCACCACAGGACAGGAUACCUCAUGCUGAGUGAGGAGCCCGUAAGGGUAUGGAAAGUGCAACAGAAAGCAGUCCGCUCUAUCCCGUUACAGUAUGGGAUUGGGGUGAGGAGUGAAAUGGCGGGGUAAGAGCCCACCGUUCCGUUAAAAAAACGGAAGCUGGUAAACCCUAUCCGGUGCAAG